Molecule: ribosomal RNA, 207 nt
Filed under: uncultured bacterium
Lineage: Bacteria
Description: partial 16S ribosomal RNA
Rfam family: Bacterial small subunit ribosomal RNA
Source: RNAcentral
UGCGUAGGCUGUUUAGCAAGUUGGAUGUGAAAUACCCGGGCUUAACUUGGGAGCUGCAUUCAAAACUGCCAGACUUGAGUACAGGAGAGGGAAGCGGAAUUCCUAGUGUAGCGGUGAAAUGCGUAGAUAUUAGGAGGAACACCAGUGGCGAAGGCGGCUUUCUGGACUGUAACUGACGCUGAGGCACGAAAGCGUGGGGAGCAAACA